Molecule: long non-coding RNA, 592 nt
Filed under: Mytilus galloprovincialis (Mediterranean mussel)
Lineage: Eukaryota; Metazoa; Mollusca; Bivalvia; Mytilida; Mytilidae
Source: RNAcentral
UAUGAUAUAUAGGUGGCAUUCUUUGGGCCACUCUACCCCCUCCUGUUUGAUAACUUGGAAACGGUCGAGCUUCCCACCCCUAAACCAUAUGAGGGGCAGAUCCAGGAUUUUAGGUUAGGAGGGCGCAAACUUAAAUUUUCGCCGAGCAGAGCGAGGCUAAAAAAAAAAUUGAGGUAAAAUUAUCGGAAUAUUCUUUAUUAAGCUGAGAACAACCCAUGCUUUGCAUAAAAAAAAUGCAUAUAUAUUCAUGUUUGUGACAAUAUGAAAAAUCAAAUGAAAUAUAGGAAGAGUCGCUGGGGGUCACCCCACCCUUCCUGUUUUUAGAAUUUAAAAAUGGUCAGAUCCCCACCCCUAAACCAUAUAUAUUCAUGUAUGGGACAAUAUAACAAAAUCAGAUGAAAUAUAGGGGGAGUCCCUUGGGUCACCCCACCCCCUCCUGUUUGAGAAUUUGAAACCCGUUGAGAUCGCCACCCCUUAACCAUAUAUUCAUGUACGGGACAAUAUAACAAUUCAAAUGAAAGAUAGGGGAGUCCCUGAGGUCACUGUACACCCUCCUGUUUGAGAACUUGGAAAUGGUCAAGAUCCUUACCCC